GAGUUUGCGAUCAAUUCGCGACGGGGGCUCACGAUUUUGUACUAUCAUAGUCAUCGGCGAGGAAGGAACACAGGAUGUAAAAUGUUAUGAAGGAAAUUCUAAACAAAUCACUUUCGUUCGUGCGAUCGUUAACAGCACAUGUAUAAGCCAUGAGCAAACCGAAGGACGUACGUUUCUCACCGACGAAUGCACGUAUAACACGUUAAAAACCACGGAAUAGCAUUGAACCACUGUGGCGCAACAGUCUCGAGUUGUUUAUUGCUGAUUAACUACUCUCGCGAGCUCGUUAAUAAACGGUGCAGCGUGGUAGUCCAGUGACUAUUUUCUAACUGGAAAAAAAGACCGAACGAGUUACCAGGUGUCUCGUGAAAGCAACAGCAAGACAUUGUUCAAGGAUACGUAGUAAAUCAGUAGAAGUCUACGCAAUACUGGAUCGCAGAACGCAAAGCGUGCUGCCGUUUUCCGGGAUCAAUGGUUGUGAUUAGUGCAAAAGCGAUGGUAGACCGUGCUAGUCGCUAUCUGAUCGUUGCAAUUCGCGUCCCCUUUGUCAUUCGAUCGAGACUCAGGCCGGUCUGAGUGUCUGUUUUAAUGCGGCGACAUUUAAUUCGAACCGUUUCGAUUUGAGUUUUCAAUUUGGCGCAAUCGAGGCUCGGCCAACGCAGCCUCGAGAUGAAAUCUACAUUUUCACGCUACGUUCAAUCGCAGAUGCUGAGUCUGACUAGAGGUUGCGCAAUAAUCGAUGCUGAUUAUGGAUUGGAAAAUGCGGUACGAUGUAAUGAAUAAUACGCGGUGAUAGAUGUCUCGAGGAUAGUAAGACCACUUUAUAAUUCCACCUGACAGUUUUGCAUGGAACUGCGACUCUAAUGUAAGUGACAUAACAAAUACUUAUUAAAAGAAGAUACGCUUCAUUUAUUGUAUUUAGUUCUACUUUUUACAAAAAUGUUCUCGCGUUAGCUCGUUUUUCGCGUUCUCGACUUCGCCCACCGUCUGCUCCAUUAUGUCGCCUUUUCGCAAAGUUAACUCGAUAACUCUUCAGAUCUCGAAUUCUUAAAGUACCUUCCAGGAAUUCAAAAGAUUUCGUGAAUUCGCGUCAGUCUCCUUCCGACAGAAAAACGUCCUUCGUUGAAUGUUCCUCAACUUCGCAUACA
Long non-coding RNA from Ceratina calcarata, 1148 nucleotides. RefSeq lists it as uncharacterized. Lineage: Eukaryota; Metazoa; Arthropoda; Insecta; Hymenoptera; Apidae. The transcript is spliced from 3 exons. The record is from RefSeq and is a predicted model, not a curated record.